This 466-nucleotide ribosomal RNA is filed under the name uncultured bacterium. RNAcentral's name for it is "bacterial SSU rRNA". It matches the Rfam family "Bacterial small subunit ribosomal RNA", at positions 28 to 507 of the family's 1533-position model. The record is from RNAcentral.
GACGAACGCUGGCGGCGCGCCUAACACAUGCAAGUCGAACGAGAGAUGAGGAGCUUGCUCUUCAAAUCGAGUGGCGAACGGGUGAGUAACGCGUGAGGAACCUGCCUCAAAGAGGGGGACAACAGUUGGAAACGACUGCUAAUACCGCAUAAGCCCACGGCUCGGCAUCGAGCAGAGGGAAAAGGAGCAAUCCGCUUUGAGAUGGCCUCGCGUCCGAUUAGCUAGUUGGUGAGGUAACGGCCCACCAAGGCGACGAUCGGUAGCCGGACUGAGAGGUUGAACGGCCACAUUGGGACUGAGACACGGCCCAGACUCCUACGGGAGGCAGCAGUGGGGAAUAUUGCACAAUGGGGGAAACCCUGAUGCAGCGAUGCCGCGUGAGGGAAGAAGGUUUUCGGAUUGUAAACCUCUGUGGACAGGGACGAUAAUGACGGUACCUGUUUAGAAAGCCACGGCUAACUACGUG